UUCGCAAUUGAAACGGUACAAUAAUCUUCAAGGUCUGAGGCUAUCAAUCCCCAGAUUUACUACGAGAGAGGGAAGAGAAAUUUGCAGUCCACGAUCUCUAUCACCCAGGGACUUUCAGUUUCAGCCCACCCCAUUGAGAAAUCCUGGAUCUGCCCUUGCCCAGAUUUACUACGAGAGAGGGAAGGGAAAUUUGCAAUCCACGAUCUCUAUCACCCAGGGACUUUCAGUUUCAGUCCUCAGAUAAAAUACAGUCCACUCAGCUAGAAUUAGACACCAUGGACGCAGAAGCUAGCUCAGUCCCCUUUCUCUGAUCUUCGCUUUCCGCAAACUACGACACAAACGAGAGCGAGAGAGGUUGAUGGGCCUAGUUAUUACUUGGCCCAUUAAGCUUUACUUCUUAGACCCAGUCAGCUAAAGGCCUAAUAAUUUAUUUUUUAUUUGGAAAUGAGCCUAACUUACAGAGCUCGAACUAGGGUUAGGGCACACUGUUCUCUGAGAAUCAGAGAGAGUAGGAGAAGCUCCCCACUUUACAGGCAAGUACUCAUCUCUACACUUUUCGCUUUGAUUGAUAACAUAUUAGUAUAUGUGUGUGCAUCUUCAAGAAAUGAGGACUAUAUACAUCUGCAAGAGUCUCAUCUCACUCUCUCUCAACAAUUCUUCACAUCUCAACAAAACCCCAAUCUCUCUUUUCUCUCUCCUCUUCUUCUCUUCCUCUCCAAAAAGCCCCAAUGCGGUGGCUGAUUACUUGAUUGAGAGACACAAAUUUUCUCCUGAAACUGCUUCGAAAGUCUCUUUCUCUCCAAGAAGCCCCAAUCUAAAAAGGCCUGAAACGAUCGAUUCGAUUCUGUCAUUUCUCGAGGAAAGUGGUUUUUCGGAUACCAAUCUCGAGCGUGUCAUCAAACACGCGCCUCAACUUCUCUCUGCAAAUCUUGAGCUUUCCAUCAAACCCAAAUUCAAGUUUUUUCAAGAAUUGGGUAUUUCUUCUAGCGAUAUUGUGCAAAUUGUUUCGUCUGACCCUCGGAUUCUAACUCGCGUUGAUAGUCAGCUGGGCCCAUCGAUUUUAGCAUUGAAGAGCGUUUUGGUUUCGAAUAUGGACGUGUCUAGGGUUUUAAAGAGAUCUGGGCAUAAUUUGAGCCAGGAUUGGGCAAAAACUAUGAUACCCAAUAUUGAAUUUUUGAAGAGCUGUGGCAUUAGUUCAUCGCAAAUAACUCGACGUGUCUAUAAUUCCCCAACAUUUUGCUUUCUUAAACCAACGAGAAUUAGAGAAAAUGUGAAGAGGGUUGAUGAGAUGGGCUUUGACAGGAAGUCUAAGAUGUUUCUUGAAGCGAUUCGGAUUAUUAGUUCGAUGACUAAAGAGAAAUGGGAGUUGAAAUUGGAGGUGUUUAAGAGUUUGGGGUUUUCGGAAGAUGACAUUUUGUCAGUUUUUAGGAGAGCGCCUCAGUUAUUUGGUCUGUCAGAGAGGAAAAUUAAGGAGACAACACAGCUUUUCCUUCGCACAGGCAAAUGUGAUAUAUCGUAUGUUGUUAAUAACCCAGAAUUACUUUGUUACAGUGUUGAGAAUAGGACUAAGCCACGGCUAAGAGUUCUGGAGGUUUUGGAAAGCAGGAAUUUGCUUCUUAAAAAGCCGAGUUUGGGGACUGUAUGCAAGAUGACUGAUAAGAAGUUCUUUGAGAAAUAUGUGGUCCCUCAUUCAAAUGAAGUUGGCGAAUUAUUUGUGGCUACAAGGCCUCGUUGAAAGCAGAAAUAUGUGCUUAAGAUCAUGAUAUCUUUUAUGACUUACCUAGGGGCAGGCUGAGACUGAAUUUUUUUUUCCAGAGAGCAAAUGACUUCGAGGCAUAGCAUGGCAGGUAAGUAGGUACUCUUUUCUUCUAUCCAUAUGGUGUACUAAGAAAAACAUGGAUUAAUUUUCCAGCUGGCUGUCUAAUUUCAAAUGUGUUGAAAUAUAUCCUUAAUUUAACAUUUCUUUUUCCCUUUUUCAAUUUUUCAAUUGAGGCAUCAUGUUGAAUAAUCCUGAUAGGUAAUAUAUCUUGCCCAAGCUUUCUCAUUUUGUAUGAGGCAAUGAUAAUGGCCGUGAUCUUAUUCUUCACGUAUAAUUAUGUCAUUGUGCAGAAUUGUAUGCUAUUAUAAGUUUUGUUUAUCAUGUACAUUGGUACUUACAGUAGUCAUGCAUAUCUUCCAAUACAACCAUGAAUUGGGGAAGUAAGGUGCUUCUUACAGUAGUCAUGCAUAUACUGAAAAUUGGAUCAAGUGAGUUCAGCAGUAGGAUAAAUCCAACAAAAGGUAGACUAGAGAACCUCCUCACACAGCAAAUGUGACAAAACCCCUUUUUAAGUGGAUUAUUUGAUGUGAGAAAUUGGUUGAAAUUAAAUUUCAAGGUUUUGUUUUGUUUUGUUGUGGUGGUGGUGGUAAUAAAAGGAAUUGCAAGUUGAACCUAAUUUCACAAACAAAAUGUGCCAAUUUUUAGCUAUUUUUUCAUUCAAUCUAGAAUCAAGGUGGAAAAAAAGCCUACUUAGGCAGUGAGGGUGCCUAUCCUGGGUCGCCUUACAGAUGAGGAUGACCAUUUUUCACUUCUUAUAAUUUGUCUGAGCUUACCUCGUCAAGAUUUAUUCUAGUAGGUUACACUGUCGAUGAAAUAUACAUUAGUAAAGUGCAUAAUUUACUCCUAUAACAUUCUAAAUUCUAUUGAAAUGUCCCCCCAAUAGAGGAUCAUGCAUUUUUCAUUUAAUUUGUCCUUAAAUACUUGUAUGAAGUGGUUUCAACCAGUCCAUUGACCACACCAAAAUUCAAUCUAACCUGUUCCCAAAUUAUUAGUCUAUUUAUUUAUUGUUCUAACAAAAACUCAUACUGGCAUUCUCCUAUAAUGAAUUCUUCACAUUUUACUUUGGAAGGUGAGUGGAUGAGUAAAGAUCCCAAGAGAUUUCUCCUUAUCCUGUCUUUCUCUAUAGCAGUGAUCUUUAUUCUGCAAUCCUCCUGAACUAAAAAUGUCUUUUGGCAAUGGUCUUUCUAAAAUGCCCUUAACAAGAAACAUGAUGUGAUGCUCACAUAUACAGUCAUAGUACUAUGUGUGUGAUAUAUAUAUAUAUAUAUAUAUAUAUAUAUAUAUAUAUAUAUAUACACAUAUGUAGUUAAUUUAGUUGAAAGAUGCUCCCAACUUGUGCCAGAAUUAUUAAUUCCCUUUCUGUCCAUAGAAUUAAUGAUGAUAUGCAGGGGCAUUAAAGUAUUUUUCCUCAAAAUUUAGUUCUUUCUCAAAUUGUUAAAUAGUCCUGAGCCAUAAGUCAUUUGGUGGUUCAUUUGAGACCAAAUUUCAAUUGUAGUGAAACCCUUUCUCUAUGACAGUGAUCUUUAUUCUGCAAUCCUUCUGAACUAAAAAUGUCUUUGAGCAAUGAUGAAAAAGAUGGACAAAAGUAAUAACUUUCAUCAUAUAAGCCGUUGUUAACUCAUGAUUUUGGAUAGAUAUUCUAAAUCCCAUUUUAUAACUGUUCUCUCUUUUAUAGCAUACCCCAGGUUACUACUUUUAUAGCUUGUGUUCGGCUUCGGGGUGCACGCGGUUCGAAUUGGACUGGUUUGAGAAUAUUUUGGAACCCAACCAUUUAUAAAGGUUCCAUAAAAAUUGGAACCGAACCAAACCAUGUUCCAAUGGAACUGAACCAAACCAAACCAUAAAAAAAGGGUUUGGUUUGGUUGGGUUUCAUAGUUUUAGGGUUUUUUAUAAUUUAAUCUAAUAUAUAUAUACAAUUAAAAAUAUAUAUUAUAUAUAAUAUAAUUUUCUAUUAUAAUAUAAUUUUUAUUAUAUAUUAUGAUAUAUAUUUGUGUGGUUAAAGAGCUAAUCUUAUUAUUUUAUUAUUUAUAUAAUACAAAAUAUAAUACGAAAUAUAUAAAUAUAUAUACAAUUUAUAAAACGGUUCGGUUCGGUUCAGUUUGGUCUUGUAGAACCUCAAAUCGUAACCAAUCCGUUUGUAGACGGUUCCAUGUUUUUGAACCAUAACCGAACCGAACCGUGAAAAUGGUGAUUGAGUGUGUUUUUCCUUUCUUCUUUUUUUUUUUUUAUUUUUUAUUUUUAUUUAUUAUGAUGGCAGAAAACCUUGAAUAGAUAUGGAAAGAGAAGUUUAGAUGUUGUUUGCUUUUGUCACUAUAGCAGAGAAAAAGUAAUAAAAGAAAAUAGAAGCAUUAGGUACAUAGGUGGAAGCUAUUGCUAUAAAGACGAAUAUGACGUAUGAUGCGUUCAAAGAACUAUUUUGCUGACAAUUUUCAAUUGAUUUUCAUAAGAAAGUACCAUGGUAUGAAGGCAAUGCUUCUAGUAAAUCUGUAAAUGACAACAGAGUCAAUGUUUAUAUUGAUGAUGGAAUGGUUGUGGGGCUAGAAUCCUUUCCUAGUCAUGUCACCUUAAGGACACCAAAUGAAGAUCGUGACAACUCCCAGUUGUUGAGCAAUGGCAUUAUUGGCUUGAUACUCGGGCUAAGAGGACAGAUACUUGAUACUCGGGCUUGCCAUCUUUAUAACAAACCAACAGUGAUUACACAAUACAAAACCAUAUAAUUUAAUUCAUCUGAAGCUUAUAAAUGGUCUAAUCUCACAGCUUCUACUCUGUCAUGUCUUGGCGAUGGCACGACGGUCGGAUGUAUCUUCUUGAAGAUCGAAAAGUAGCAACCUUGUGGAUUUUCACUUUCAUGAUCUGCAAUUACCUCCCUUUUGGCCUUCUUUGAUGUUCUCUUCAUCUUCUCCUUGUGGAUUUUUCGCAUCAUGUAAACUUCAGCAAGAUCAGCACCGGCUAAAGACAUGGCCGGAAAAAUAAAGCCGGUACAGUGAAAUUGUGUGUGAGAAAUGGAUGUCUUGUGACAAUUGGAUUGAUUUUGUGAUGAUAAUGUUUUGGGAGGCCUUAAAGAAGCCAUUUAUACACAAGUAUAGGCUUGGAGAGCAAGCAAGUUUUGUCACUGCAUGUUCUUGGCUGUUUCAUUUCAUGGCGGCUUAGAAAUAAGAUUGAAGACUUUCUUGGGAAAAAUAUGUAGUGGGGUCACAUGAAAGUGUUCGUGCAUGACAUAAACAUGCAUAAAGUUGGCUUAGUGAUCAAGUCAUUUUUGGCCUAUUGCUCUUGUAGACUCAACGAUAUCCUUUUGACAAUUUUGCAUUUUGUGUUAGACACCAUUGCACGUUCCUAAUAGGUUGCGUAUUAAUUGACUGUUAUAUAUUGGACAAA
RNA transcript from Cornus florida, 5194 nucleotides. RefSeq lists it as uncharacterized. NCBI's taxonomy places the organism in Eukaryota, Viridiplantae, Streptophyta, Magnoliopsida, Cornales, Cornaceae. The record is from RefSeq and is a predicted model, not a curated record. The transcript has 5 exons.